RNAcentral lists this ribosomal RNA (408 nucleotides) under uncultured Bicosoecida. RNAcentral's name for it is "partial small subunit ribosomal RNA". It matches the Rfam family "Eukaryotic small subunit ribosomal RNA", at positions 30 to 432 of the family's 1831-position model. The record is from RNAcentral. Lineage: Eukaryota; Bigyra; Bicosoecida.
GCUUGUCUCAAAGAUUAAGCCAUGCAUGUCUAAGUAUAAAUAAUUCUAUACUGUGAAACUGCGAAUGGCUCAUUAUAUCAGUUAUAGUUUAUUUGAUAGUCCCUUACUACUUGGAUAACCGUAGUAACUCUAGAGCUAAUACAUGCGCAAAUUCCCGACUGUCGCAAGGCGGAAAGGAUGUAUUUAUUAGAUCCAACCAGCCCGGUUCGCCGGAGUCCCUGGUGAGUCAUAAUAACUGUUCGGAUCGUAUGGCUUUUUGCCGACGACAGAUCAUUCAAAUUUCUGCCCUAUCAGCUUUCGACGGUACUGUAGUGGACUACCGUGGCAUUAACGGGUGACGGAGAAUUAGGGUUCGAUUCCGGAGAGGGAGCCUGAGAAAUGGCUACCACAUCCAAGGAAGGCAGCAGG